This 105-nucleotide microRNA precursor is filed under the name Carlito syrichta (Philippine tarsier). RNAcentral's name for it is "microRNA 448 (ENSTSYG00000019937.2)". It matches the Rfam family "mir-448 microRNA precursor family". The record is from RNAcentral. Lineage: Eukaryota; Metazoa; Chordata; Mammalia; Primates; Tarsiidae.
GGGAGGUUGAACAUCCUGCAUAGUGCUGCCAGGAAAUCCCUAUUUCAUAAGAGGGGCUGGCUGGUUGCAUAUGUAGGAUGUCCCAUCUCCCAGCCCACUUCGUCA